GACAAUAAAGGAAGUAAUCAUCUAAUAACAGCUACCAUCCAUGACACGUCUGCCAAUGCCAGCUCUUCAACCUGAAUGAUUUCAAUAGAUAGUACUGCUCCUAUGGGACAGAUGAAGGGAGUGGAGAGUGAAGAAUGUGUUCCCCAGAAAAGCAUCUUAAGAGAGUCUGAAGCUUGGAUGUGAGCAGCCCAAAUCAGGCCUGAUGCUGUGCACCUGCUCAGCUUUGCACCAGGGAAAGCUGCUGGCUUAUCACCACCUCAGGCUUUCUCCCAUUCCACAUCUUCCAGAAAUCCCCGGCUCCAAAAACUCAGUUUUCAAUUCAUGUGGCAGGUAGAAGAGCCAGACUACAAGUACAGUAAAAAUAUCAUGAGGAUUUUCACUGGCAAAAUGCAAAUAUAAAAAAGUAACAACAUGCCCUUCAUCCACUAAUUUUAUAAUUCUUCUGAGACAAGCGAUAAAGUUUUUUUU
RNAcentral lists this long non-coding RNA (468 nucleotides) under Homo sapiens (human). RNAcentral's name for it is "HSALNT0250658". The record is from RNAcentral. Lineage: Eukaryota; Metazoa; Chordata; Mammalia; Primates; Hominidae.